RNAcentral lists this ribosomal RNA (253 nucleotides) under uncultured bacterium. RNAcentral's name for it is "partial 16S ribosomal RNA". It matches the Rfam family "Bacterial small subunit ribosomal RNA", at positions 524 to 776 of the family's 1533-position model. The record is from RNAcentral.
UACAGAGGGUGCUAGCGUUGUUCGGAAUUACUGGGCGUAAAGGGCGCGUAGGCGGCUUGUUAAGUCGGGUGUGAAAGCCCGGGGCUCAACCCCGGAACUGCAUCCGAGACUGGCGAGCUUGAGACCGGGAGAGGAGAGUGGAAUACCCAGUGUAGAGGUGAAAUUCGUAGAUAUUGGGUGGAACACCGGUGGCGAAAGCGGCUCUCUGGCCCGGAUCUGACGCUGAGGCGCGAAAGCGUGGGGAGCAAACAGG